This 459-nucleotide ribosomal RNA is filed under the name uncultured bacterium. Its description in RNAcentral is "partial 16S ribosomal RNA". It matches the Rfam family "Bacterial small subunit ribosomal RNA", at positions 338 to 795 of the family's 1533-position model. The record is from RNAcentral.
CCUACGGGUGGCAGCAGUGAGGAAUAUUGGUCAAUGGGCGCGAGCCUGAACCAGCCAAGUCGCGUGAGGGAAGACGGUCCUAUGAAUUGUAAACCUCUUUUGUCGGGGAGCAAACGACGCCACGCGUGGCGUUCCGAGAGUACCCGAAGAACAAGCAUCGGCUAACUCCGUGCCAGCAGCCGCGGUAAUACGGAGGAUGCGAGCGUUAUCCGGAUUUAUUGGGUUUAAAUGGUGCGCAGGCGGAAGAGCAAGUCAGCGGUAAAAUUGAGAGGCUCAACCUCUUCGAGCCGUUGAAACUGGUGUUCUUGAGUGAGCGAGAAGUAUGCGGAAUGCGUGGUGUAGCGGUGAAAUGCAUAGAUAUCACGCAGAACUCCGAUUGCGAAGGCAGCAUACCGGCGCGCAACUGACGCUCAUGCACGAAAGUGUGGGUAUCGAACAGGAUUAGAUACCCCUGUAGUC